AAUGUGUUAGGUUUUAGAGUUAGGUUUUAUCGUGGGUUUCUAAAUAUGUUAAGGGUAUUUCUGUCAUUUGGCAUAUUAAUCGCAGUUUUUUAAUUUUAACGCUGAAUUUAAUCAGCGUUUAAUUUUUUUCGCCGCAUAACAUUGCGUCGGCCGCAGCGUUUUGCCGCAGCUAUCUGCGGUAGUGAAAUGAACAGUUUCAUCUGCGUCUACCGCAGCUGCAACUACCUGCGGCGACGAAACGAACAGACUAAAUAUAAAUAAACAUAAAAAUUAAAAGCACAAAUGAAUUUUAGUAUGUGUAAUUAUGUAU
RNAcentral lists this small RNA (310 nucleotides) under Arabidopsis thaliana (thale cress). RNAcentral's name for it is "ATSL005990". Lineage: Eukaryota; Viridiplantae; Streptophyta; Magnoliopsida; Brassicales; Brassicaceae. The record is from RNAcentral.